Molecule: ribosomal RNA, 253 nt
Filed under: uncultured bacterium
Lineage: Bacteria
Description: partial 16S ribosomal RNA
Rfam family: Bacterial small subunit ribosomal RNA
Source: RNAcentral
UACGAAGGGGGCGAGCGCUGUUCGGAUUUACUGGGCGUAAAGCGUGCGCAGGCGGUUUUGUAAGUUUGUCGUGAAAUCCCCGGGCUCAACCUGGGAAUGGCGAUGAAGACUGCAAGGCUAGAAUCUGGCAGAGGGGGGUAGAAUUCCACGUGUAGCAGUGAAAUGCGUAGAGAUGUGGAGGAACACCGAUGGCGAAGGCAGCCCCCUGGGUCAAGAUUGACGCUCAUGCACGAAAGCGUGGGGAGCAAACAGG